Molecule: small nuclear RNA, 316 nt
Filed under: Castor canadensis (American beaver)
Lineage: Eukaryota; Metazoa; Chordata; Mammalia; Rodentia; Castoridae
Description: 7SK RNA (ENSCCNG00000022138.1)
Rfam family: 7SK RNA
About the family: 7SK was discovered as an abundant small nuclear RNA in the mid-70s but a possible function has only recently been suggested.
Source: Rfam by way of RNAcentral
GGAUGUGAGGGCAAUCUGGCUGCAACAUCUGUCAUCCCCUUGAUCACCAGGGUUGAUUCAGCUGAUCUGGCUGGUUAAGCAGAUGUCCCAUUCCUUCCUCACUGCUCCAUGUGCAUCCCUCCCAAAGCUAUGCACUCAGUCAAAGAGGAUGACCAUCCCUGAUAGAGGAGGACGAUUGUUCAGUCAAGGGUAAAUGAGUAGCUGCACUCCCUUGCUAGAACCUCCAAACAAGCUCUAAAUGACACCAAAAAUCAAAUGGACCUAACUGAUGUCUAGAGAAUAUUUUACCCAGCUACAGCACAAUAUACAUUCUUCU